This 220-nucleotide long non-coding RNA is filed under the name Pan troglodytes (chimpanzee). RNAcentral describes it as "long non-coding RNA NONPTRT010257". Lineage: Eukaryota; Metazoa; Chordata; Mammalia; Primates; Hominidae. The record is from RNAcentral.
AUGUGUUCCUUGUAUACAAGCGACGUCCCAGAUUAUAAUUCUCUGCUGAGAUUUGAGUUGGAUUUGAGGAUUUGGAGAAUCCCUGCAGCUUUGUAACUUCAGAGGUGUAAUUAGCUGAAAACAUCAUCGUUUUGAAGAGUUCUGCGUUUUGCCAGUCACCUCUCAACUGUGUGCCAAAGAAUUCAGUGGGAAAACAUGCUCAGCAUUUGUGGGACACCAG